GAGCAGAUAUCUCCAAAGAUCCUUACUUUGAUUUGAUUCUUUCCUGUGUGUUUCUCGGACCUAUGCAGAUGUAUAAAGUAGGCUUCAUCACAGAGAAGACAACAAUGGCGAUUGUCCGAUCAUCAAAGCUUAGUCUUCCUAACCCAUCUCUCUCUCUCUCUCUCUCUCUCUCUCCUUCUUAUCCUCAAGUUUCAUCUAUACUCUAUUAACCUAUCUCCUCAUCACUUGCUGAUUGCUCUAACUCUACUUGAUUCCUCCAUCUCUCUCAUACCUACAAACCCUAAUCACUUCUUCUUGCUCCUCGACUUCGUUUCUCUCAGAACCCUAAUAACUCCAACGACGAGUCUGCUAAUUGAAUUGUCUCCGCGUGUCUUCUUUAUCGUUGCUGGGCCAUAUCGUGGUCUUCUUCUCAGAUUCUAUGGUCUACGGGAAGGGGAAAACAAAGGCUUUGUGAGAGAGAGAGCCAGACUGAUUUGUGAUCGGAAAGUUGGGGUUUUGUUGUAGAAUCUUUCAGUUAAAAUCGUUGGGCUCAACCAAAUACUUUGCAAUGUGAGCUCCAAAAAUACUCAUCUUUGGUAUCAAAGGUGGUGACUGAUGACAGCAUUUCUUGUGGAGAAUGGAGAUGAUGACGCUGUGGUUGUGAAGCUGAUCAGAUGUGGUGUGUGUGUGUGAUUGAAUGUGCUAGACCGGGUCGGUAUAUUGUCGGGUUUGUUGAUUUUAGGGUAAGAUAAUGACAAUGAGAGAGGGAGAUAGAAGAAAGACGGUGGGAGAUUGCGUAAUGGGCAGAUUGAACGGAACAAGAAGAAGUAGAAAGCCUGUUCAUUUGAACAAGGGGUUGCUAAUUAAACAGAGACAACCAUCUUCUGAAACAAGAAUGUGCUAAUUAAACGCUGCUGCUGGUAGCGCUGACCAGGUCUCUUAGGGCGAUAUCUAUUCAAGGAUUGUCCAUUAGAAGAUCCUUGAUCUUGGACUCUGCCGGGUAUAUAAAUGUCUGGCCUGUCUCUGGUCGUCAUCCUCUCGGAUCAAUCUUUGCUUGUCAUAUGCAGCACUUGCCUCGCUUUAUGGAUGUAAUGAUCCCUUGUUCCUGAAAUGUUUGUUAGGUACAAAAAGCUUUUGGAUUUCAGACGGGGAUUAUUUCAUGCUUAGGGUGACAAGUCUGAUGAGGAAGCUAUCAUAAAAGAGAAAGAUAGAGUUAAUAAGAUAAGAGAUGAAAGACCUAUACAAAACCUUGGAUUCUCGGGCUACGAACCUUGUACGCAUAUGCUAUAUCCUGAAGCAGCUAAGACAUGAUUUGGUUUUGUUAAAACCUGUGAGAUCUAUUUUUUUUGGUUGGGUAUAAAAUUGUAGUUACCAUAAAAUUCGAAUGUCAACAUAGUGUCCAUGGGAUUCAAAUCAAACCCAUGAACUUAUAAAUGAAAACAUGGACCAUAACAGGGAUCAGAUGAUGAAUGUGACAUGAUGAUGAUUAUAACAUGCACGUGGUUUAAAUA
Camelina sativa (false flax) is the source of this 1490-nucleotide non-coding RNA. The record is from RefSeq and is a predicted model, not a curated record. Lineage: Eukaryota; Viridiplantae; Streptophyta; Magnoliopsida; Brassicales; Brassicaceae.